AUACUUGACCCGGACCAGGAUUCUGAUGUAGCUGAGGUUGUUGAUGGUAUCCCAUUGGUACUUGAUUGUAUUGUUGAAUAUACUGACCCGGCAUUUGACCCGGCAUUUGAACCAUAUAAUCACCAGGCUGAAGCAUGUGAUUUGCCGGUCGAACCAUCGGAUUACCUCGGUGAAUUGAACCAGGAACGUAAUAAACCGGUGUUUGGUGAUGAACUUGUGGUGGACCAGCGGGGAAUUGCCAUUGCGAGUAAACCGGUUGAUGAUUACUCUGUUGAAUUACUUGCUCCGGUUGAGGAUCGGCUUUAGGAGUCGAAACCGGUUCUGGGCUUUCCGGUUUAGUUUGAACCGGUAGAAGUUCCGGUGUAGAAGAUCUCAUCACCGGGGCAGAGGAGGUCGAACCAUACGGCGAAGGAACAUCGCGACGAGGCGAACCAGGAUCUGAAAGCGUCGAGACUUCUCGACGGAUCUUAGCUCUCGGAUCACGAUCACGAAGCUCAUGCGGCGGAGCAGAUUCGUCGAAAUUAUCCAGUCCAAAGAGGUA
Molecule: long non-coding RNA, 541 nt
Filed under: Eutrema salsugineum
Lineage: Eukaryota; Viridiplantae; Streptophyta; Magnoliopsida; Brassicales; Brassicaceae
Description: long non-coding RNA (ESAL_LNC000823)
Source: RNAcentral